Scylla paramamosain (green mud crab) is the source of this 2889-nucleotide RNA transcript. RefSeq lists it as uncharacterized. The transcript is spliced from 8 exons. Lineage: Eukaryota; Metazoa; Arthropoda; Malacostraca; Decapoda; Portunidae. The record is from RefSeq and is a predicted model, not a curated record.
AAACAUUAGUGAUAGGAAUGAUUGUCUAGGGCUGAUGUGUCACGUGACCAUCACUAUGGCAACAAGAAACGCGGUGAUGGAAGCCGCGGGAAGGAAACGUCAGCUGACUGCCCAACGUGUGUCUUGCCUCCUGUGUCCUUACGACAUGUGUGCAUCGAGAAAAUAACCAGGAAUCUGUAUGCUUAUGACCCUUUAAAAGAGUGUGGCGUGCUAGUAAUGGGCCGUGUCCUGGGUCUGUGUGAGGUUCACCAAAAGUGUGGGGCAGCUGAUUUUUAUCUUUGCAUAUCUCUAGUGAUCACUACAUAUAGCAGAAGUGUUUCAGCGAUGGUGUGAUAAAGAGACGUCACUCGUGCCCUAGAACAGAGGCUUUCAAGACAGAAGUCUGCUUGGGUAAGGCAUAUCCGCAUCUACAGCUACAGGCUACAGUCCUCUGCUGUGUUACCUCUAAUCACCGACACUCAUCAUCACCCGUCAUCAAUCAUAGUACUAUCCACCUUCACCUUCUCUGCCCAUCACCUGACUUCACUGUCCAUCACUACUGGCCACCCAUUACCAUGCUGACGCGAAGGGAGGUGGUGGUAGAGAAACCGUUCCAGGAUCGCCGCUACAAGGACCACAGACGAAAGGUGAUGAGCGCCCUACCCCGCAUCGACACAGGCCCGCCAGUUGAGUACCCGCACUUAGUAGUAAAAUUGAAGAAAUUAAGAUUAGAGAAAGACCGACAGGGUAAAAUUUGCGAGGACAACCUUAAACUAGCGCAUCGAAUGGCCAUCAUAAUGAGGACCAAGCGUCUAGAUAACAUCAACAUGGCACCCAAAGGGCCUUUUGAGCGAAGAAGCAAAUCUAUGGGUAUCCGCGACCGUCGCAGGGAGGACGAGCCCAGCUGGAGCGAGGGCGGGUCCCUGCUUCAACAAGUGACCACGGAAGCUGAGAGGUGCAUCAGACCGCCGCCGCCGGGUAGGAUGGUUCAGCACCGCGCCCCCGCUGGUGUGUGUCGUGUGCCGCGCGUGGGCCCGCCUCCACCAGCACCACCUCUGCCGCGCCGCCAUCUCGUGCCCACCAUCACGCUGCCCCUCUCUUCUCCCAGGUCUCGCCGCAGCCCCUCUCCCAACUCUGUGUCGGGAAGGUCCUCGUCACGCCGCCGCGGCCGCGAAACCACCCGUCUCACACCUUUGUCGACGAGCGUCAGCCGCCGGCCCAGCGUCAGCACUUUGCCUUCCCAACGAGAUGAGAAUUCCAGCUCUGCGGGGGACGGUGGAGACUUCGAAGAAUACUGUAGCGACGAUGUGGAGAAAUCUGACGCUAGCAACGAAGAAGAUGGAAAACGAGAAAAGUUGGAGGAUGAGGAGGAAUUAAAGGAAAAGGAGAAGACAGGAGUGGAAGAGGAAGUCACCGAUUCUGACGACCACGUGUCCUCCGUGCUUCUGAGUCACCAUCCAAAUAUCACGAUCGACGAGGCAAGCGACGACGAGUUUUACUCAUAAAAAGUCUCGGAGGUUUCAGCAGCCACGUAACACAGCGUCCUCAGUAACAACACCGUGAAGUUGAAGCACUAGUGUUUUCAGAUCACUGCCUUAUUUUGAAUAUCCCGCUCUAGGGAUGUAUAGCUGCCAGACAGCACUACCUAAUAUAUGGAAGAACAAUAUCUAUUGAUUUAUAGUUACUGAAUUCUGGUCUUUAUUUUCACCUCCUUGUGUGUGUUCUCGUGAAUUGUGUAUUGUUUUUGUUCUCUUGUUACGAUGCGCUUCAUAUGGGUCAAAAUUGUUCCUUCUGUUGUGAGUGGAAGGUGCACCUCAGUCAGCAGCGGGAAGUACGGGGCAUCAUUCAGCAGCGGCUCACUUUUCUCACAAAACCCUGACUGCAGGUAAUGAAGUUGUCAACUAGCUUCCCUCAGAACACUACAUAAUCUCAUGUCAAGUGAAGGACUGGCUGUUCUACUUGGGAUUUCCAUUCAAGAAACAUUUUCAGAAUGUUUCCCAUGUUUCUAUCAACUGAGUUUAAGUAUUUGAAGCAAAUCCAGACAUCACAGAAAGGUUGGAAGACUCCCUAAGCAAAAGUAGAUAUGCUGCCAAUGGACAAGGACAAUGGACAACUUGAAGUCCUUUGAGUCAGCUUGUGUUGGUGUGUGGUGCGUGGCAGCAAGUAUGGUUCAACUCUGACCAAGUCCAGUUGUAAGGAGCACUGUGAACACUCUGGAUGGUGAAGCAGUCCUGUUUUCGAGUUGUCACUGGUAUUCCAUGGUGUUUCCACUUGACAUAAAUCACUAGUUUGUGUGGGCAUUAUGAGACCUAUUGUUGGCCAUGGAGAAAUCCUUGGCAUCCUACUUUUGGUGAGCCAGGGUGUGGGUAAUUGUUGUGUGAGGUGAUAGCCAGUGUGAAAAUUGUUGAGUCUGGUUUUGGGACAAUGAAAUGUCUCAGUUUAACUAGUCAUUGACCUCUGCUUGUUGCUAAUAUAAUUGCAACAUACAUAUAUCCCUAAACAAACAACAUAAGAAAAUGAGGAGACUUAAAAAUACUAGUUGACCUACACAAGGUAGCCACCAGUUGCUAUUACCAUGAUGUCUGUCCCAGUUGACCAUUUUUGAGGUGAUGGUUGCUGUUAUAUAGAACCUUCACUUCACAGUCACCUUAAAGAAUUUCUUGGGAACAUGUCAGGUAUUGAUGAAUACAUAGAGAGGAUUACUGGAUGGGUGAUGGGCUGCAAGAUCAGAGAAAAGCACAUGACCAUAUUUGAAAAGAAAAAAUAAAAACAGAUUAAAAACUAAUUUGUUACAUGAUAAUACUACUCAUUGAUGACAGUAAGGUGAAGGAACAAACAAUUAUGAAUAACAGUAAAUGUAAUUGUAAUAAGUAAACUUGCAAUGUAUGAUUUCCUGUCAUUCAUAUUUUU